AUGUAAUGAGGGCACUUCUGUAAUAAUUCUUUACACCUUUCCCAUGCCUUAGACUAGAACUCAUAAUCCAUUUUUUGGAAAGUAGUGAUCUCGUUCCUCAACUU
Molecule: small nucleolar RNA, 104 nt
Organism: Gossypium raimondii (Peruvian cotton)
Lineage: Eukaryota; Viridiplantae; Streptophyta; Magnoliopsida; Malvales; Malvaceae
Rfam family: Plant small nucleolar RNA R71
About the family: R71 is a member of the C/D box family of snoRNAs containing the C (UGAUGA) and D (CUGA) box motifs.
Source: Rfam